CCUACGGGAGGCAGCAGUGGGGAAUAUUGGGCAAUGGGCGCAAGCCUGACCCAGCAACGCCGCGUGAAGGAAGAAGGCUUUCGGGUUGUAAACUUCUUUUCUCAGGGACGAAGCAAGUGACGGUACCUGAGGAAUAAGCCACGGCUAACUACGUGCCAGCAGCCGCGGUAAUACGUAGGUGGCAAGCGUUAUCCGGAUUUACUGGGUGUAAAGGGCGUGUAGGCGGGAAAGCAAGUCAGAUGUGAAAACCAUGGGCUCAACCUGUGGCCUGCAUUUGAGACUGUUUUUCUUGAGUACUGGAGAGGCAGACGGAAUUCCUAGUGUAGCGGUGAAAUGCGUAGAGAUUAGGAGGAACACCAGUGGCGAAGGCGGUCUGCUGGACAGCAACUGACGCUGAGGCGCGAAAGCGUGGGGAGCAAACAGGAUUAGAUACCCGUGUAGUC
RNAcentral lists this ribosomal RNA (443 nucleotides) under uncultured bacterium. Its description in RNAcentral is "partial 16S ribosomal RNA". It matches the Rfam family "Bacterial small subunit ribosomal RNA", at positions 338 to 795 of the family's 1533-position model. The record is from RNAcentral.